Molecule: unclassified non-coding RNA, 1342 nt
Filed under: Hevea brasiliensis (rubber tree)
Lineage: Eukaryota; Viridiplantae; Streptophyta; Magnoliopsida; Malpighiales; Euphorbiaceae
Source: RNAcentral
GAAGGAAGCCUGUCAACUUCUCCCAGAAAUAUCAAGCCCAACAAUCCACCCGAAGGUUGCUCAGGUUCUGUUGGAGCGGGGAAACCCUGAUGCAGCUCUCAUGGUUCUGAGGUGGUCUGGACAAGAUGGCACACAGCUAAUUUCACUUCGUGAGGCUGUAACUGCUGUCCGUGUGCGGGUAGAAUGUGGACUUUUGACUGAAGCAUUCACGUAUCAGAGGCUUAUCUGUGCUAAGAUCAAGGAAAAAAAGUUGAGGGAUGAACAGUUUCAGAGUGCUUCUGCUGAAGUAGAGGACCAAUGCAGGUCGUGGGGUCUCUGGUUGGAGACCCUUGUCACUGAAAUUUGUUGUCUGUGCAUUAGAAGGAACUUAGUUGACCGCAUGAUAGAACUGCCAUGGACUGCUGAUGAGGAGAAGCACAUUCAUAAAUGUCUGCUGGAUUUUGCUGCCGAGGAUCCUUCAACGCCCAUAGGAAGUCUUCUUGUAGUUUUCUACUUGCAGCGUCAUAGAUAUGUUGAAGCAUACCAAGUUGAUCAGAAGCUUCAGAGCAUGGAGGAGAACUUCAUUUCUCAAAAUUCUGUCAGUGAAGAAGUCUUAGCGAGGGUCAGAUCAAUAAAUCAUUGGAGGACUUGUUUGGUUGACAAGGGAGUAGAGUUGUUACCAGAUAUCUUACAACAGCAAAUAAGGACAGGGAAGUUGCCUGAACUGGUUGUUACUUGCAAUGACACAGUCAACAUCUCUGAGAGGUCCAAUGCUGUAGCCCAAGAACCUAUCAUGACCAGUUUAUUGGUUAAUCCUCCCACCGUUUCUGGCCUCAUUCAGCGAGUUGAUGUUGUUAAACCUUCUGUUCUUGACGCUCCAUCUGUACUUGGGGGAUCAUUAAAUCUGUCGAGCUUUAAAGUUGGGCAUUAUAGUUCUCCCAGCUCCCCAGCUUUUUUUAAUGAUGCUGGAGUGUUGAAACCUGAAAGUAUCCUUGGGAAAAAAUUGAAAUUUGAUGAGAUUUUGACUCCUGCAAGUCGUCGUGUUAAUCCUCCUGCUCCUGUAAUGAAGAUCAGCAGGAAUUCGUCAGUGGAACCUUCUAUUAGUCGACUUCGCAAUUCUCAAACAUAUAGAGUUUCGCCUGAGAAGUCUCAGAAUGGGUUUCCAAAGGAAUCUUAUAUUUUUGACCAGACUGCCGGCAACAAUGUCAAUUCUCUUAGUAGCAACAGAGGCAUAUUAAAACAUUCAGUUGAAGAUUCAUACAUGAGUUAUCCUGGUAAACGUCAACUGUCAGAUGCUGCUGAUAGAUCACGGAUGUUACCAUUAAAUGAUUCAAUGGAUGUAAGCUGGAGCCAUGAAGAAAAG